Molecule: transfer RNA, 69 nt
Filed under: Ensifer meliloti
Lineage: Bacteria; Pseudomonadati; Pseudomonadota; Alphaproteobacteria; Hyphomicrobiales; Rhizobiaceae
Description: Sinorhizobium meliloti tRNA-Lys
Source: RNAcentral
GGCUGUUGAGAGUAAAAUAGAUUACUCUUAAUCAGCGGGUCCACGGUUCGAGCCCGUGAUCACCCACCA